AACCCCAGCCCCUGGGGUACAGCAGCACGCGGAUGCCGGCGGAACACCGAUACGUCACCGGCGGACAGCGCGCGCAGCUCGCAGCGUGGAUCGGACAGUCCUGCUGCUUCAGAACUCCUCAGAAAAAGGCUGUUCCGGCCCUGUGCAUGUCAGCCGUCCACAUAUCUGGGAAGUCGCCCGAUGGGUAUGGAACCACUUCAUCCUAAAGACGGCGGAACCUUCUCUCUGGAAUGACGGGCUUCUCCCAAAGGAUGUUAACGAUCAUGUCUGAUGGAGGGGAUCCGAUUGGUGCAUCGAGGGCGUCGUCAUAGCUGAUGGCACGCCGGACAAUUCUGAUGGGGAGCCCCUCGGACAUACCCGACUCCAAGGCUGGGAAGUGACAACGAACCAGGAGAAGCAGACAGAGAGAAAUGCUCACACCUCUGAUUAAUUCCUGCAUAAUUCAAAGCAAAAAAGGAUCAUUGGCAAACGUGCUCUAUUUCAAUCCAUAAAUUUGUCACAGCAAGGCUUGGAUUACAUUGUGAUAGGUGAAUAUUUAAAAAUAGCACAUCAGAUGUAUACAGCUGCAAAGACGAAUGUAGUUACCAGGAACGUCCCCCCGUCUGGAUGCCAUAAUGCUGGAAAACUAAGAAAAAACAAAACUGUU
Long non-coding RNA from Brienomyrus brachyistius, 646 nucleotides. RefSeq lists it as uncharacterized. The record is from RefSeq and is a predicted model, not a curated record. The transcript is spliced from 2 exons. NCBI's taxonomy places the organism in Eukaryota, Metazoa, Chordata, Actinopteri, Osteoglossiformes, Mormyridae.